UAGAUUCUCCUAUCAUGCCUGCUUCUGAAGUUAAAGCUGGGGACUUUUUAGUCAUCCUAACUUGUUCCAUGCGAAGUUGGCAAGUUGACUUUGAUAUACUUCAUCUUCAAUACGCUCGCAUCAUUGCCAUCUUCAACAAACAGGAAAACACACCAGGAAAGGAGGUUGCCCUUGGUUUUAGUGGAUUUGGUGCUAAUCUCCCACCUUUUGGUCACUUUCUCCAUUCCUCAUAGGCUUUGAAAUGCAUUCUUCAUGAUUUAAAUUUAAUAGUUCACCCCUUACAUCAAAUCCACCUUACAAUAUAUUGUAUUGUUUUGGCCUCACAGGAAAAGUUAAACCACGUCCCAUAUUUUUCAUUGUUUCUAUGGUCUUUUUCUUGGGGUCAGGUAUAUAUAUAUAUAUAUUUACAGAAUUUUAAUCUUUCUUUAAUCCUAAAAAUCUUGAUUGUUCAAUUCUUGUGGUGCUAUAAAAUCUCAGUUAACAUUAUUUAAG
Molecule: unclassified non-coding RNA, 492 nt
Filed under: Hevea brasiliensis (rubber tree)
Lineage: Eukaryota; Viridiplantae; Streptophyta; Magnoliopsida; Malpighiales; Euphorbiaceae
Source: RNAcentral